RNAcentral lists this transfer RNA (49 nucleotides) under Bisetocreagris titanium. Its description in RNAcentral is "tRNA-Arg". Lineage: Eukaryota; Metazoa; Arthropoda; Arachnida; Pseudoscorpiones; Neobisiidae. The record is from RNAcentral.
AUAAGUGGUUACCACAUUCAAUUUCGACUUGAAAAUUUAACUUUUUAAU